UACUUCCGCCCUCCGCGCAGUGGAUAGC
RNAcentral lists this small RNA (28 nucleotides) under Bombyx mori (domestic silkworm). Its description in RNAcentral is "ovarian small RNA-21623". Lineage: Eukaryota; Metazoa; Arthropoda; Insecta; Lepidoptera; Bombycidae. The record is from RNAcentral.